ACACCAGCACCUCAAGUGGUCAGGAUGAUUAUUGGGCCUAAAGCAUCCGUAGCCUGCUUUGCCAGUUUUCGGUUAAAUCCAUACGCUUAACGUAUGGGCUGCCGGAAAUACUACAAAGCUAGGGAGUGGGAGAGGUAGACGGUACUCGGGAGGAAGUGGUAAAAUGCUUUGAUCUCUCGAUGACCACCUGUGGCGAAGGCGGUCUACCAGAACACGUCCGACGGUGAGGGAUGAAAGCUGGGGGAGCAAACCGGAUUAGAAACCCUGGUAGUCC
RNAcentral lists this ribosomal RNA (274 nucleotides) under uncultured bacterium. RNAcentral's name for it is "partial 16S ribosomal RNA". It matches the Rfam family "Archaeal small subunit ribosomal RNA", at positions 473 to 747 of the family's 1478-position model. The record is from RNAcentral.